GAUGAACGCUAGCGGCAGGCCUAACACAUGCAAGUCGAGGGGUAACAGGGUAGCAAUAUCGCUGACGACCGGCGCACGGGUGAGUAACGCGUAUGCAACCUUCCUUUAACUGGGGCAUAGCCCGGAGAAAUUCGGAUUAAUGCCCCAUAAGAUCAUAGAAAGGCAUCUUUCAGUGAUUAAAGCUCCGGCGGUUAAAGAUGGGCAUAUGUGCCAUUAGCUAGUUGGUGAGGUAACUGCUCACCAAGGCUACGAUGGCUAGGGGGUCUGAGAGGACGAUCCCCCACACUGGUACUGAGACACGGACCAGACUCCUACGGGAGGCAGCAGUGAGGAAUAUUGGGCAAUGGGCGCAAGCCUGACCCAGCCAUGCCGCGUGAAGGAUGAAUGCCCUAUGGGUUGUAAACUUCUUUUGUACGAGACGAAACUUCCGGUCGUGACCGGGAUUGACGGUAUCGUGCGAAUAAGCAUCGGCUAACUCCGUG
RNAcentral lists this ribosomal RNA (482 nucleotides) under uncultured bacterium. RNAcentral describes it as "bacterial SSU rRNA". It matches the Rfam family "Bacterial small subunit ribosomal RNA", at positions 28 to 507 of the family's 1533-position model. The record is from RNAcentral.